GUAGUUUGGUAAAUUUAUUUUAAAUUUAUUUUACAUAUAAAUUUUAGUGUUGUUUUUAAUUUAUUUUAAUAAUAAAUUUUUAUUAAUAGUAGUAAUUAAUAUUAAAUUAUUUAAGAAAUUAAGAUUUAGUAAUAUUUAAAUUAAUAACAAAUUUUGUGCCAGCAGUUGCGGUUAAACAAAGAUUAAAUUAAAUUUUAUUAGUAAAUUAAUUAAUAAAUAUUAUAUUUAUAAUAAAAAUUUUAAAUUAUUAGGUGAAAUUUUAAUUUAAUAAAAAAUUAUAUUAAUUUUAUGAUUUAAUAAAUUUUUUUAAAAACUAGGAUUAGAUACCCUAUUAUUAAAAUUUUAAAUUUAAAUACUAAAAUAGUAGAUAAUUAUUUAUUGAAACUUAAACAGUUUGGCGGUAUUUUAGUUCAUUUAGAGGAAUCUGUUUAAUAAUUGAUAAUCCACGAAUAAAUUUACUUAAUUUAUAAUUUUGUAUAUCGUUGUUAAAAAAAUAUUUUAAUAUAAUAAUAAUAUUUUAAAAUUAUAAAUAAAUUUAAAUCAGAUCAAGAUGCAGAUUAUAAUUAAGAAUAUAAUGGAUUACAAUAAAUUUAUUUAAAUGAAUAUUAAUUUGAAAUAAAUUAAUUGAAAGUGGAUUUAAAUGUAAUUUUAUUUAAAUUAAUAAAAUGAUUUUAAAUUGAAAUAUGUACAUAUUGCCCGUCGCUUUCAUAUAUUAGGUAUAUAAUUUUUUUAUAUUAUAUAAAUUGGAAUAAGUCGUAACAAAGUAGAGAUACUGGAAAGUGUUUCUAGAAAGAA
This 795-nucleotide non-coding RNA is filed under the name Lygephila dorsigera. Lineage: Eukaryota; Metazoa; Arthropoda; Insecta; Lepidoptera; Erebidae. The record is from RNAcentral.